AUUGAACGCUGGCGGCAGGCCUAACACAUGCAAGUCGAACGAGUGGCGGACGGGUGAGUAAUGUCUGGGAAACUGCCCGAUGGAGGGGGAUCACUACUGGAAACGGUAGCUAAUACCGCAUACCAUCGGAUGUGCCCAGAUGGGAUUAGCUUGUAGGUGAGGUAACGGCUCACCUAGGCGACGAUCCCUAGCUGGUCUGAGAGGAUGACCAGCAACCCUGAAACGACGACGCGGUCCAAACUCCUAAGGGAGACAGCAGUGGAAAAUAGUGCGCAAGGGGGACAAGGCAGAUGCAGCCAUGCCGCGUGUAUGAGAAGGACCUUCGGGUUGUAAAGUACUAUCAGCGGUGAGGCGUUACCCACAGAAGAAGCACCGGCUAACUCCGUGCCAGCAGCCGCGGUAAUAC
This 406-nucleotide ribosomal RNA is filed under the name uncultured bacterium. Its description in RNAcentral is "partial 16S ribosomal RNA". It matches the Rfam family "Bacterial small subunit ribosomal RNA", at positions 30 to 526 of the family's 1533-position model. The record is from RNAcentral.